Long non-coding RNA from Harpia harpyja (harpy eagle), 772 nucleotides. RefSeq lists it as uncharacterized. The transcript is spliced from 4 exons. The record is from RefSeq and is a predicted model, not a curated record. Lineage: Eukaryota; Metazoa; Chordata; Aves; Accipitriformes; Accipitridae.
AGAUACCUGGCAGAGACAUUUGUUGUGAAGGAAACACAUUCAUUAACAAAUGUCAGUGGUGUUGUUCCAGUGAUGUCUUCCCAUUGGGCAGGGGUGGUUCCUCCUGAAAUGAACAAGGUCUGAGCUAUUUUAGUAACCUACAGCUAUUCACGAGGGAUUUCAACAAGCACAGUCUCCUGGCCAAGCAAUACAAUGUCCCAGUGGAAAACUCACAGCUGCAGAAAGCUAUCUACAGGGAGCCCUCUUCUAGCACGAGGAAGCACCACUACAAGCACUACCAACCAUCUACGUACAGAGAAUGAAGAGGAGAGGGCUCACGGAAGAGAAACACAAAUGACUGUGAAGAGUUCGGGGGGGGGAUGUUAAUACAAGGGAUUAAAGGGAAUCAGAAAGCUCUUACAGGUUAUCACUGGAAGAGAAGAAAGGAGGCAUCCUAAAAAAAUUAGGCUGAUAAAUGUUCCUUACGUGGUUCUGUGAUAAUUUAUUAUAAUAUUAAAAAUUAAAGAAAAUGUAAAAAAAAAAACCAAAAUAACUUACAGGAGCUCCAUGUAGAUAUAAUAGCUACAGUUUUCAGAAGGGGUUAAAAAUGGCGUAAUAGGGGAAGGAAAACCUUAGCAGGGACUAACUAUGGUUAAGAGAAAUGAGGUAAAACUGAGGAGAGGGAAAACAAUAUAAAUAGGAGAAAACUUUUGGACAGCUGAUAAGUAGGAAAACAUUCUUGUGAGCCAUUUAAAACAAAGGUGGCCAAAAUAAGUGAACUGAUUGAUCAAAC